UAUUUUUUUAACAACCUAAGUGAUUGACAACCUAGUGUUUUAUCAGGUGGGGUAUGGACAAGUACACAAUUCGCAUCCUUGCACUGGCCCUCCUGCCUCUACAGCUCGUAUGCUCUGCUACUGUUGUACAAUGUAAGCACACCAAUCAAUUUUUAUUUCUUCACUUCUCUUGGAAGUCUAUAUGUAGUACAGCUAGUAAGGAGGGUUUUUUAUUGUUUAAUCUUUUGUUUGUUUAUUUAUUCUACUCUAAAGUAUACAAUUGGAUAACAAUUGAAUAUUUGUUUGUUAUUCCAUAGGCUGAAUCAUGGUUGACAUGGAUAUCGAGAAGAUCAAUUUACCAAACGGGCUAUGCGCUCACGAGAGUUGGAUUCAUUGCGGCGCUCAUGGACUAUGCGACUGUUGUUUGGUAGAUUCGAUCUGCUACCCCACUAUGGAUGAGUGCACGAGGGAGUGUAAAAAAUCCUCGUCUUCAAAAGACAUACUACGGGCCAGGACAUCCCCUCCUCCUUUACCUGGUCCUUAAUUUUCCAGCCUAGUCAAAUUGCUUACAUGCAUAUUUACUUGUCCCGGGAAAUGAAAAUAAUGCCUAGUAUAUGUGUGGAAAUACAGUUGUGCAAUAAGAUCGAGUAAUACUCUAGCAAUUGUUGUUGAGUAUUUGGUUUGGCAAAUUGCAUCUAAACUUUUGCCAAUUAUUGCGGGCUAAGUUCUAGUAAUAAUGCAACCUAGGUACAAUGUGAGGCCUAAACCGGAGGUGCUUUUCCU
This 762-nucleotide long non-coding RNA is filed under the name Triticum aestivum (bread wheat). RNAcentral describes it as "long non-coding RNA (TAES_LNC019868)". The record is from RNAcentral. Lineage: Eukaryota; Viridiplantae; Streptophyta; Magnoliopsida; Poales; Poaceae.